UCCAGACUCCUACGGGAGGCAGCAGUGAGGAAUAUUGGUCAAUGGGCGAGAGCCUGAACCAGCCAAGUCGCGUGAAGGAUGACGGCCCUACGGGUUGUAAACUUCUUUUGUCAGGGAGCAAUUGAGUCCACGUGUGGGCUUAGCGAGAGUGCCUGAAGAAAAAGCAUCGGCUAACUCCGUGCCAGCAGCCGCGGUAAUACGGAGGAUGCGAGCGUUAUCCGGAUUUACUGGGUGUAAAGGGAGCGUAGACGGCAGUGCAAGUCUGAAGUGAAAGCCCCGGGCUUAACCCGGGAAUUGCUUUGGAAACUGUACGGCUGGAGUGCUGGAGAGGUAAGCGGAAUUCCUAGUGUAGCGGUGAAAUGCGUAGAUAUUAGGAGGAACACCAGUGGCGAAGGCGGCUUACUGGACAGUAACUGACGUUGAGGCUCGAAAGCGUGGGGAGCAAACAGGAUUAGAUACCCCUGUAG
Molecule: ribosomal RNA, 467 nt
Filed under: uncultured bacterium
Lineage: Bacteria
Description: bacterial SSU rRNA
Rfam family: Bacterial small subunit ribosomal RNA
Source: RNAcentral